GGGGAUGUAGCUCAGUGGCAGAGCAUUUGACUGCAGAUCAAGAGGUCUCUGGUUCAAAUCCAGGCGUCCCCU
Molecule: transfer RNA, 72 nt
Filed under: Callorhinchus milii (elephant shark)
Lineage: Eukaryota; Metazoa; Chordata; Chondrichthyes; Chimaeriformes; Callorhinchidae
Description: tRNA-Cys (GCA) (tRNA-Cys-GCA-5-1)
Rfam family: tRNA
About the family: Transfer RNA (tRNA) molecules are approximately 80 nucleotides in length. Their secondary structure includes four short double-helical elements and three loops (D, anti-codon, and T loops).
Source: Rfam by way of RNAcentral